CACGUAUUGAUGAAAAGCAAAACAAUAUUACGGUGUCUAGCGAUUGGAACAAAACUGUUGGAAAUCUCAUUUUAUUUUGUUGAAAGUAAGAUGAUUUAGAAUUGAAAAGGUAGAUACGUUGGUCGUUGGCCGUUUUCUCUGAGAAGCGAAAAGCUAACGAAUAUCCAUUAUCGAGCAGUGAAGACAAGCGAAUAUGUUGGAACAUUUAUCAACACAAAAAUAUAUAUAUAUAACUCAUCUUUACGCCAUGGAACAUCGAAUAUUUUAUUUUUGACGGAGACACAUAAAGAAGUAAAGACAAAUUGUGUGGAAAUUCUUAGCGGUCACGGGACAGUAGACCUUUCUGAAGUUUUUAGCGGAAAGGUUUUUUGAGAAAUUUUGAACCAGAAAAAAAUCA
Molecule: long non-coding RNA, 397 nt
Organism: Anopheles arabiensis
Lineage: Eukaryota; Metazoa; Arthropoda; Insecta; Diptera; Culicidae
Exons: 2
Source: RefSeq, a predicted model, not a curated record